GACCAGGGGGAAAGAAAAAAUACAUGAUGAAACACUUAGUAUGGGCAAGCAGGGAGCUGGAAAGAUUCGCGUGUAACCCAGGUC
The sequence is a regulatory RNA element, 84 nucleotides long. It matches the Rfam family "HIV gag stem loop 3 (GSL3)". Rfam says of the family: This family consists of several HIV gag stem loop 3 (GSL3) sequences. GSL3 is known to direct specific packaging of HIV-1 genomic RNA. The record is from Rfam.